ACGCACGGCGUUUUGUUUUUUUUUCCCCACCGGGGGAUUUUCUCGUCCCCCUUCGGAGAGACGUCUCGACCGACGUGCGAAACGUACUAUAUGGCAAUGUCUGAGAAAUUUACCAAAUUCAGAACAAUGAUGAAUUCCAUGUGGGGCAUCACAUUUGCUGUCAUCACCGGAACUGUUGCCUUACAAGUAACCUGGCGGUACUUCAAACCAAUAAGAGAUCGAAAUAGGCUUCGUGAAAAUGAACAAUUGUCUGAGUUCUUGUUUCAGCAAGAAUUAGCUCAUGGAAGACGACAAACGUCACAAUUAGAUGCAGAUGCCUAAUUGCCUGAGAUUCCUAAAAAUAAAUAAAUAAAAUAAAUAAAAAGGUAACAUUUGUUACAACUGAUUGUAGUCGUAUUUUUGUAAAGAUAUUGCAAUAUUUAAGUUGUUCUAUAUGUAAUUACAGUGUUUUUGUUUUUCUUUUGUAUAUUGAUUUAAAUUAAUACCAGCCAAUUAUUCAAAUACUCUUUUUCCCCCAACCUUUUAGCAUAGGUGAACAUUGUUUUUGAACUUUUAAUAUUAAAUUGUUUGAUUGGUGGAA
Long non-coding RNA from Cimex lectularius (bed bug), 580 nucleotides. RefSeq lists it as uncharacterized. The transcript is spliced from 2 exons. The record is from RefSeq and is a predicted model, not a curated record. Lineage: Eukaryota; Metazoa; Arthropoda; Insecta; Hemiptera; Cimicidae.